AGUGAACGCUGGCGGUAGGCCUAACACAUGCAAGUCGAACGGCAGCACAGUAGGGGCUUGCUCUUGCGUGUGGCGAGUGGCGGGCGUGUGGGAUAUACAGCAAAAUCUACUUUUUCGUGGGGGAUAACGGAGGAAAACUUGCUCUAAUACCACAUGCGACCUGCGUGUGAAAGCGGGGUCUCUUCGGACCUUGCGCGAGGGUGUGAGCCGAUGUCGGAUUAGCUAGUUGGCGGGGUAAAGGCCCACCAAGGCGACGAUCCGUAGCUGGUCUGAGAGGAUGAUCAGCCACACUGGAACUGAGACACGGUCCAGACUCCUACGGGAGGCAGCAGUGGGGAAUAUUGGACAAUGGGCGCAAGCCUGAUCCAGCCAUACCGCGUGGGUGAAGAAGGCCUUCGGGUUGUAAAGCCCUUUUGUUGGGAAAGAAAAGCAGCAGGUUAAUACCCCGCUGUGAUGACGGUACCCAAAGAAUAAGCACCGGCUAACUUCGUG
Molecule: ribosomal RNA, 492 nt
Filed under: uncultured bacterium
Lineage: Bacteria
Description: partial 16S ribosomal RNA
Rfam family: Bacterial small subunit ribosomal RNA
Source: RNAcentral